GAUGAACGCUGGCGGCGUGCCUAAUACAUGCAAGUCGAGCGAACAGACGAGGAGCUUGCUCCUCUGACGUUAGCGGCGGACGGGUGAGUAACACGUGGAUAACCUACCUAUAAGACUGGGAUAACUUCGGGAAACCGGAGCUAAUACCGGAUAAUAUAUUGAACCGCAUGGUUCAAUAGAGAAAGACGGUUUUGCUGUCACUUAUAGAUGGAUCCGCGCCGCAUUAGCUAGUUGGUAAGGUAACGGCUUACCAAGGCAACGAUGCGUAGCCGACCUGAGAGGGCGAUCGGCCACACUGGAACUGAGACACGGUCCAGACUCCUACGGGAGGCAGCAGUAGGGAAUCUUCCGCAAUGGGCGAAAGCCUGACGGAUCAACGCCGCGUGAGUGAUGAAGGUCUUCGGAUCGUAAAACUCUGUUAUUAGGGAAGAACAAAUGUGUAAGUAACUAUGCACGUCUUGACGGUACCUAAUCAGAAAGCCACGGCUAACUACGUG
This 497-nucleotide ribosomal RNA is filed under the name uncultured bacterium. RNAcentral describes it as "partial 16S ribosomal RNA". It matches the Rfam family "Bacterial small subunit ribosomal RNA", at positions 28 to 507 of the family's 1533-position model. The record is from RNAcentral.